AAUAGAUACCCGGGUAGUCCACCCGUAAACGUUGGGAACUAGUUGUGGGGUCCUUUCCACGGAUUCCGUGACGCAGCUAACGCAUUAAGUUCCCCGCCUGGGGAGUGCGGCCGCAAGGCUAAAACUCAAAGGAAUUGACGGGGACCCGCACAAGCGGCGGAGCAUGCGGAUUAAUUCGAUGCAACGCGAAGAACCUUACCAAGGCUUGACAUACACCGGAAACGGCCAAAGAUGGUCGCCCCGCAAGGUCGGUGUACAGGUGGUGCAUGGUUGUCGUCAGCUCGUGUCGUGAGAUGUUGGGUUAAGUCCCGCAACGAGCGCAACCCUCGUUCUAUGUUGCCAGCACGUAAUGGUGGGAACUCAUGGGAUACUGCCGGGGUCAACUCGGAGGAAGGUGGGGAUGACGUCAAAUCAUCAUGCCCCUUAUGUCUUGGGCUUCACGCAUGCUACAAUGGCCGGUACAAAGGGCUGCAAUACCGUGAGGUGGAGCGAAUCCCAAAAGCCGGUCCCAGUUCGGAUUGAGGUCUGCAACUCGACCUCAUGAAGUCGG
RNAcentral lists this ribosomal RNA (550 nucleotides) under uncultured bacterium. Its description in RNAcentral is "bacterial SSU rRNA". It matches the Rfam family "Bacterial small subunit ribosomal RNA", at positions 777 to 1329 of the family's 1533-position model. The record is from RNAcentral.